RNAcentral lists this long non-coding RNA (1308 nucleotides) under Heterocephalus glaber (naked mole-rat). RNAcentral describes it as "lncRNA (ENSHGLG00000049282.1)". Lineage: Eukaryota; Metazoa; Chordata; Mammalia; Rodentia; Bathyergidae. The record is from RNAcentral.
AACCGGCUGAGAUGAUGACGGUGGCCGAGAGCUCUGACAGGCCGAGGACCCAGAGAAGCUUGCCAUGGAGUUCAGCGCCGUCCCAGGGUGGGAGCCCGGGAGCUGAGGAUGAGCUGUCCCCACUCAGGCUGAGGCAGGAGGCCACAGGGGCAGAGCCACCCUUCCUUCUUCCUUGUUUCUCCCAGGCCCUCGGUGGACUUGAUGCGAAGAUGGAUGGACAAGGGGAUGGGGCAGAGCAGACAGGAUACUGAGCCCAAGGAAGCACAAUGGGACGUUCCAGUUCACUAUGUAGCCCACGCUGGCCUUAAAGUCACCAUGUAGCCCAUGCUGGCCUCGAACUGGCAGUGAUCCUCUUGCUUCAGCCUCCUGAGUGCUGGGAUGUCAGGCAUGCACCACCACGCCUGGCUAAUAUUUCUGUUUUUAAUCAACCACAUCAGUUUUGUGAUUUAUUAAUUCUAUGACCUAGGGCAUUUUACUUGACUUCUCUAAACCUGAGUUUCCUAAUGAGUCCAAAAGAAAAUAGAACAGACUUCUGGAAGUUAGGGACUACAUGACCAAACUGGCAUGCCCGGGCUAUGUGAUGGUGCUAGAACAGGGUCCCUUUCAUCGGCAUCCCCCUUCGAGAGAGGAGGUCAAACACCGGCUCUGUCAUUUACUACGAUGACUGACCUCUCUGAACCUUGGUUUGCUCAUGUUUCAAGUGAAAGUAAUAUGAGUACCUACUGCACAGGUAUCAUGAAGGUCCAUGCAAUGACUCAUGUGUAGAGCCUCUUAGAGAGUGGGGUGAGUAGCUCCCACAUGAAGUUGAUGAGGAGAUGCACUGCACUCUUCAAUGCUAAAUAUCCAUCGUGGUGCGGGUUUACAUUCAAGACGCAAUCAGUGUGAGCUGUCACGACUCCCAUGACUACUACUACUGCAGUUGUGCUAGGUGGACACUAGUUUGUCACUUUCCAUUCAUGAUGGGCCCUUUAAUGAAUCUUCUCAGCACCUAUCUCUUGUAGAAAAGUAGAUAGACAGAAGAUAGAUAGUAAAAAGUAGAUAGACAGACAGUUAUAAAUGUUCAGGACUAUAAACUGAAGAUCCCUGAAGGGCAGUUUUUUUAUGAGUAUCAGAAACUUGGGGUAUUUGAGUCUAAAGUAUAUUCAGAAUAAUAUGCAGAAAGGUAAUACUUGAGAACAGAUGAAUGGAUAAAGAAAAUGUAUUUAUGCAAAAUGGAGUACUACUCUACCAGGCAGAAGAUACAUUUGAGUCAUUUGUAGGAAAAUGGUUGCACCUUGAGGCAAUCAUGUUGAGUAAAAUAAAUCAGAC